UUACAUGGACUUUUAUUUCUGAUAAGCAAAAGGGUCUACUUCCAGCUUUUGAUGAGGUACUUCCAGAUGUUGCACACAGGUUUUGCCCGAACAACAACAACUAACCAGUAAUUCCCACAACGUGGGUCUGAGAAGGGUAAUAUGUAUGCAUACCUUACUCCUACCCCGGUAGGGCAGAGAUGCGAGGCACCUACACAACAACAACAACAACAACUAACCACUAAAUUUCCACGUGUGGUCUGGGGAGGGUAAUACGUACGCAUACCUUACUCCUACCCUGAUAGUGUAGAGAGUUUUGGGAGAAUUGUUUAAUUCUCGUAUUGCUCACAAAAGUAUAUAUAGAGUACAAGGAAAUCUAAUCCUACCAAUUAUAGGAGUAUACAAAAUCUAAUCCUACCAACUAUAGGACUGUACAAAAUCUAAUCAUACCAACUAUAGGACUGUACAAAAUCAAAUCCUACCAACUAUAGUACUAUACAAUAAUGAGAGAAUAUUCUACCAAUAAUAAAAAGAUACACAAAUUAUAUUCUAAUACGCCGCCUCAAGAUGGAGGGCCGGAGGACACGCCAAUCUUGGACACAGCAGAAGAAGCCAAGGACGUGAUAAGUGCUUUGUGAGAGCAUCAGCAAGCUGAUCAGCAGUGUCGUAU
This 649-nucleotide long non-coding RNA is filed under the name Nicotiana benthamiana. RNAcentral describes it as "long non-coding RNA (NBEN_LNC017907)". The record is from RNAcentral. Lineage: Eukaryota; Viridiplantae; Streptophyta; Magnoliopsida; Solanales; Solanaceae.